CAGAAGUGUUGAAUUGAAAUCCGCAGAGCAUUUUUACAAGAGUUCUGACCUGGAUGGGGUAAACCUCAGUGCACUUUUCCGUUGCCUCAGUAUUACUGGAUUGAAGAAUUGCUGUUUCUUGUUAGGAGGUUCAUUUCAUUUACCAUUACUUCCAACUUCAUACUCAAAGCACUGAGAAUUUCAAGUGGAGUAUAUUGAAGUAGACUUCAGUUUCUUUGCAUCAUUUCUGUAUUCAAUUUUUUAAAUUCUUUCAUAACCCUAUUGAGUGUUUUUUAACUAAAUUAACAUGGCUCGAAUGAACUGCCCGACUCCUGUAGAAGUCACAUACAAGAACAUGAGAUUUCUUAUUACACACAAUCCAACCAAUGCGACCUUAAAUAAAUUUAUAGAGGAACUUAAGAAAUACGGAGUUACCACAAUAGUAAGAGUAUGUGAAGCAACUUAUGACACUACUCUUGUGGAGAAAGAAGGCAUCCAUGUUCUUGACUGGCCUUUUGAUGAUGGUACACCACCGUCUAACCAGAUUGUUGAUGACUGGUUAAGUCUUGUAAAAAUCAAGUUUCGUGAAGAACCUGGUUGUUGUAUUGCUGUUCAUUGUGUUGCAGGCCUUGGGAGAGCUCCAGUGCUUGUUGCUCUCGCAUUAAUCGAAGGUGGAAUGAAAUACGAAGAUGCAGGACAAUUCAUAAGACAAAAGUGGCAUGGAGCUUUUAGCAGCAAGCAACUUUUGUAUUUGGAGCAGUAUCGUCCUAAGAUGCGGCUGCGCUUCAAAGACUCCAGUGGUCGUAGAAACAACUGUUGCAUUCAAUAAAACUGGGGUGCCUAAUGUUACUGCCUUGGAAGGAAAAUUUGACACAGGACCUAAUAUGUCAUAUAUAUUAGCCAACAUGUUGGCUUGGUGAAUAAGUCUAAUGAAGCUUCCAUAAGAGUAUUGUAAAGCGGUUUUACCAGGCCACAACUUUAACAGAAUUGCAACUUAUGUGUCUGGGUUACGGUUAGCCUUUUUGGACACUUAGCAAAAGAUUCUUGCUGUUCAGCAUUUAAAAUGUGCUUAUCAUUUGUACCAAUUGACCUUUCCUGAAAUCAUGCGGUAUUGAGUUAUGUCUUGUUUAAAUCUAUUCCCAUGCCAGAAUCUUAUCAAUAUAUAAGAAAUUUAGAAAGAUUAGGUGCCAAAAUACCCAGCACAAUACUUGUAUAUUUUUAGCAUCAUACAGAACUAAAAUCCCAGGAACUAUGAACACUCUAGACCUUAUAUGGUUUAUCCAUUUCAGACAUUGAAAGUAGGGCCUACAUGGUUAUUUGUCUGCUCACUUUGUUUACAUCUCCCACAUUUAUACCAGUAUACAUCAGGUUUGCUUAACCAUUGAUUUUUUUUAUUCUUUUUACCAAGUCUUUCAGUGAUUAUUUAAUGUCUUUCUGUAAAUCUCAUUUUGUGCUGUUAUGAAAAACCUCCAUUUUAAAAAUCAACAUUGUACAGAAGCACAUGUCUUUAAUGUCUUCAGACGAAAACGCCUUACAGUUAAUUUAAUGUUUGCACUCUGAGGUGCAACUUAACAGGGAGGGCCUGAAAAAAGAAUGGGAGGGAGCUAUUCAAUAUUUUUAGCAAAAUGUUGCCUUUGUCUUGUGCAGAACAUGUAGAAAUAUGCUCUUUAAUUUAGUAAAUAUUUUUUAAAAGGUAGAGAUGCUUUGUUAAUUGUAGCUAAAACAAUUCUUAAUCAUAAAAUUUCUGAAAUUCUUGUAAUUUUUUUCCAUACUUAUCAGAAGUUGUUUAUCAACUUAUUUUUGUUUGAAGUGUGAUUUUUUUUUUCUGUUCCCAACCUCUCUUGCAAAAAAAAAAAGAAGUGGGUUUCUGCUAAUGAAUUGAGCAGACAUCUAAUAUUUUAUAUGCCUUUUGAGCUAUGUAACUUAAUAUUUGGAUACUUGAUAAUUUGUUUUAUUAUGUAAUUGAUAAAAUGGUGAUGUGUAUUAAUGUUAGUUCAACCAUAUAUUUAUACUGUCUGGGAAUGUGUGGUUAUAGUUCUGUGGAGAAAUAAUUUGUCAGUGUUCACCAGCUUGUAAAAACUUAGAGUGAGAGCUUAAACAUCUAAAUAAAUAAUGAAAUGCA
Microcebus murinus (gray mouse lemur) is the source of this 2101-nucleotide non-coding RNA. Lineage: Eukaryota; Metazoa; Chordata; Mammalia; Primates; Cheirogaleidae. The record is from RefSeq and is a predicted model, not a curated record.